RNAcentral lists this unclassified non-coding RNA (392 nucleotides) under uncultured bacterium. Its description in RNAcentral is "contains 16S-23S intergenic spacer region". The record is from RNAcentral.
ACCGUUUCAGAGGUCUCGGCCUCAAGUUCGGGAUUACCGAAGCCGGGAAAGAAGAGCUCGUUGAAACUGGGCGCCUUGAAAGCGGUAGCGUAGCUGGACCGCAACGUAUGAUUGGCGUCCAGGUCGUAGCCCAGCACCAGGCUUCCCGUCAGCUCAUCGCCAAAGGUCUCGUUGUCGUCAUGGCGUAGGCUCGUCUGCACGGCAACUGGAGAAAAAUCCAGGAGACCUUGAGCAAAGAUGGCCGUGUUAUCACGACUGUCUACCUCGAAGGCAUCAAAACCAAAGAAUUCGUUAGAAUCCCUGCCAGUGAUCUGAUCUUCGGUAUAUUCAGCACCGGCAAUGAACUCAUGAAAGCCAAAGGUCAGGGUAUUUUCCCAACGAGCAGUACGCGU